UCCGGGGCGCCGGGAGCCGAGGACGCUGGAAUGUCAGGAGGGGUGAAGAAAGACGCCGUUUGCAUUCCCGCUCUCUUCUCACCCCUCGAAAGAGGCCGGGCGAGAGCCAGUCUCUGCCCGGUGCGAGGAGCGGCCCCCGCGCCCGCCGCUGGCAGCUCUGCGGCUCCCGGGCGCGGCGAGCACCUGUUAGCGCGGGUCUCCGCCUGCAGCCCCCGAGCGCGCGCGGCCUCCUGCGGCACAGGCCACCCGGGCGGCGGCAUGGAAACGAUCAGCUUUAGAAUGGCUGCUUCCUGAAUCAACUGGAUGCUGCAGCUCACAACAGUUCCAGGCCCGCAGUAGACAGACUGCCCAGUCAUCCCUCCUGAGCCAUCCCUCCUGCUCCUCAGCAUCUGGAAGUGGUGUGCAAAAAGAAAAGGCAGUGCCUGCCGUGGACAAGGGGUCUGUCACUCCCUUAUCUUAGUACAUUGACAUCUAUAAGGUACUGUAGGCGUUAAAAAGAUUCAUUGUCAGGCUGCACAGCACUGAAGAAUCCUGAGUAGAUGCUGGGAAGACAACAAAACCAACCAACCAACCAACCAACCAACCAACCAAACCUUAAUGUGCAUACUCAGAGUUAAAUGCAUGAAUCUUAUUAUUUAAUCCUUUUAAAUU
This is a non-coding RNA of Arvicanthis niloticus (Nile rat), 651 nucleotides long. The record is from RefSeq and is a predicted model, not a curated record. NCBI's taxonomy places the organism in Eukaryota, Metazoa, Chordata, Mammalia, Rodentia, Muridae.